UACGUAGGGUGCGAGCGUUGUCCGGAAUUAUGGUGCGUAAAGAGCUCGUAGGUGGUUUGUCGCGUUCGCCGUGAAAACUCGCAGCUCAACUGCGAGCCUGCGGUCGAUACGGGCAGGCUAGAGUUCGGUAGGGGAGACUGGAAUUCCUGGUGUAGCGGUGAAAUGCGCAGAUAUCAGGAGGAACACCGAUGGCGAAGGCAGGUCUCUGGGCCGAUACUGACGCUGAGGAGCGAAAGCGUGGGGAGCGAACAGG
Molecule: ribosomal RNA, 253 nt
Filed under: uncultured bacterium
Lineage: Bacteria
Description: partial 16S ribosomal RNA
Rfam family: Bacterial small subunit ribosomal RNA
Source: RNAcentral